GAAUACGUGUAAAUCUAUGGCUGAUUCAUAUCAAUGUAUGACAGCCUCUCAUAGUGUCCCAUGCCAGAGCAAAUGCGGCCCCGAACCAUUGCCUGGCCUCUGCCAGUAGGCUGCAGGCACUGAAGCGGGUUGCACAGUG
Small nucleolar RNA from Dama dama (fallow deer), 139 nucleotides. RefSeq annotates it as small nucleolar RNA SNORA42/SNORA80 family. The record is from RefSeq and is a predicted model, not a curated record. NCBI's taxonomy places the organism in Eukaryota, Metazoa, Chordata, Mammalia, Artiodactyla, Cervidae. The transcript has a single exon.